UACGUAGGGUGCAAGCGUUGUCCGGAAUUAUUGGGCGUAAAGAGCUCGUAGGUGGUUUGUCGCGUUGUCCGUGAAAACUCACAGCUCAACUGUGGGCGUGCGGGCGAUACGGGCAGACUGGAGUACUGCAGGGAGACUGGAAUUCCUGGUGUAGCGGUGGAAUGCGCAGAUAUCAGGAGGAACACCGGUGGCGAAGGCGGGUCUCGUGGGCAGUAACUGACGCUGAGGAGCGAAAGCGUGGGGAGCAAACAGG
Molecule: ribosomal RNA, 253 nt
Filed under: uncultured bacterium
Lineage: Bacteria
Description: partial 16S ribosomal RNA
Rfam family: Bacterial small subunit ribosomal RNA
Source: RNAcentral